This 472-nucleotide ribosomal RNA is filed under the name uncultured bacterium. RNAcentral describes it as "bacterial SSU rRNA". It matches the Rfam family "Bacterial small subunit ribosomal RNA", at positions 355 to 825 of the family's 1533-position model. The record is from RNAcentral.
UGGGGAAUAUUGGACAAUGGGGGCAACCCUGAUCCAGCCAUGCCGCGUGUGUGAAGAAGGUCUUCGGAUUGUAAAGCACUUUAAGUUGGGAGGAAGGGCAGUUACCUAAUACGUGAUUGUCUUGACGUUACCGACAGAAUAAGCACCGGCUAACUCUGUGCCAGCAGCCGCGGUAAUACAGAGGGUGCAAGCGUUAAUCGGAAUUACUGGGCGUAAAGCGCGCGUAGGUGGUUAGUUAAGUUGGAUGUGAAAUCCCCGGGCUCAACCUGGGAACUGCAUUCAAAACUGACUGACUAGAGUAUGGUAGAGGGUGGUGGAAUUUCCUGUGUAGCGGUGAAAUGCGUAGAUAUAGGAAGGAACACCAGUGGCGAAGGCGACCACCUGGACUGAUACUGACACUGAGGUGCGAAAGCGUGGGGAGCAAACAGGAUUAGAUACCCAUGUAGUCCCUGAGCGGGCUGGCAAGGCGCAU